CGGCGUUCGAGGAAUUGAGUUGUAUGGGUACGAUUUCAACACCAACACGGUACAUUUUGAUCUCUGACGACCCGUUCGCACGGUGCGAGAAAGAGCGAGAAAGCAAUAUGAUUUUGCACGUUUCAUUACCACAUUUAUUUGUGUCGUCGAACAAUGAACGGAACGUUCGAACGCGUUCGGUGUAGUCAGUUUCUUCCAAAAGUCCUGGUCGUUUUUUGUUAAGAAUCUCGUUCGUUCGUGCACUUUACCGAACUGUUCGAACGGUUCGAUUCUCGUUCAACCCAAGUAGCAACCGAAGCUUUUUUCUCCCAGUUUCAACCCCCUCAUGUCCAAAAACUGCCUUCGCUUACUAUUCCUAUCCCGUUUCUACAUUCCACAACGUUUGUUGCGUUCUCGCUCAUCAGGGUGUUAGUCAAUUCUCUCUUGCCACACGAAGAGAAUUCUCCUGCACACUUCGUAUGUUGGAUUCUACCCAUCCCUGUUGAACACACGUCAUUUUCUUCCAUCGCACUCAUCAGGGUGUUUGCUCUUUUCCAUCCAAGCCAAAGAGCGACUUCAGUGUGCUCUGAACCGUGGAUGUGAGAGUGUGUGUUUGUGUGCUGCGUGAACUAUUUUUCCUGCGUGAAACACUUUCCAUACUGCGCCAUCCGCGGUGUUCUUUCUGCUUCAUCGGAGGACGAAUUUUUAUCAUCUAAUUGUUUGGUUUCAGAUGUGUGCUGCUACCGCUAGCUGUUCCUCAAACUACUUAAAAAGUGUGACACUGUGUGCACAGGCGUUAGAGUUUCAAUUGAUCCUCAAGCACAAAGCCUUCAUACAACACCGCGGUUGAGGUGCGCCAAAUCUGAUGACAUCUUUCCUGAACCAAGCAGGCUGAACACGCGCACCACCACGGGCUCCAGCGCGGUGUGAAGAGGGAAGAAGAAAAGACAGAAUUGGAAACAGCCGCGCCAGGCUUCCAACCACCGUGUGUGUGUAUGUAAGUAUGUGAGAACACAUGUGUGAAUCUUCUUGUGGGAACUGCAAAAAGAAGAGAAUAAAGAGUGUGAAGCAGCUAGACUGCCGCAACCAAAUCAAGAGAGUGAAUUCUCAUUUCAAUCCGAAAAACUGGGAGAGAGUCUGGGGUCGAAAAACUGGGACAUGCGAGAGAGAAUAAAACUAGAAACACGAGAGAGGACACGAAGCGCUUUCGGGUUUUUUUUCGCCUUCGCGCACAUUUUGCUUUAUGCGCGCGAAAAAGUGAGCCUUGAUCAGCGCGAUGGCUCCCAUACAAAGGCCUUCGGCUUUGCUAUCUGGG
Molecule: long non-coding RNA, 1294 nt
Organism: Anopheles coluzzii
Lineage: Eukaryota; Metazoa; Arthropoda; Insecta; Diptera; Culicidae
Exons: 3
Source: RefSeq, a predicted model, not a curated record